UACUAACUAGUUUAAUAACACCAAAUUGCAAAUUUGAAAAUAUUCUUACUAA
RNAcentral lists this transfer RNA (52 nucleotides) under Parachtes limbarae. RNAcentral describes it as "tRNA-Cys". Lineage: Eukaryota; Metazoa; Arthropoda; Arachnida; Araneae; Dysderidae. The record is from RNAcentral.